AUUUAUAUAAUUUACAAAAAAAUAUUGAUUUGUGGAAUCAAAAAUAUAAUUUAAAUAAUUAUUAUAAAUA
RNAcentral lists this transfer RNA (70 nucleotides) under Taeniogonalos taihorina. RNAcentral's name for it is "tRNA-His". Lineage: Eukaryota; Metazoa; Arthropoda; Insecta; Hymenoptera; Trigonalidae. The record is from RNAcentral.